RNAcentral lists this small RNA (60 nucleotides) under Roseofilum reptotaenium AO1-A. RNAcentral describes it as "Nitrogen stress-induced RNA 1". It matches the Rfam family "Nitrogen stress-induced RNA 1". The record is from Rfam by way of RNAcentral. Lineage: Bacteria; Bacillati; Cyanobacteriota; Cyanophyceae; Desertifilales; Desertifilaceae.
UAAUAGAUGCACCCUGAUUCCUAUCUCGCCCCCAGUUCUUAACAGCUGGGGGUUUUUUAU